This 489-nucleotide ribosomal RNA is filed under the name uncultured bacterium. RNAcentral's name for it is "partial 16S ribosomal RNA". It matches the Rfam family "Bacterial small subunit ribosomal RNA", at positions 30 to 507 of the family's 1533-position model. The record is from RNAcentral.
UUGAACGCUGGCGGCAGGCCUAACACAUGCAAGUCGAACGGUAACAGGAAGCAGCUUGCUGCUUUGCUGACGAGUGGCGGACGGGUGAGUAAUGUCUGGGAAACUACCUGAUGGAGGGGGAUAACUACUGGAAACGGUAGCUAAUACCGCAUAACGUCGCAAGACCAAAGAGGGGGACCUUCGGGCCUCUUGCCAUCGGAUGUGCCCAGAUGGGAUUAGCUAGUAGGUGGGGUAACGGCUCACCUAGGCGACGAUCCCUAGCUGGUCUGAGAGGAUGACCAGCCACACUGGAACUGAGACACGAUCCAGACUCCUACGGGAGGCAGCAGUGGGGAAUAUUGCACAAUGGGCGCAAGCCUGAUGCAGCCAUGCCGCGUGUAUGAAGAAGGCCUUCGGGUUGUAAAGUACUUUCAGCGGGGAGGAAGGGAGUAAAGUUAAUACCUUUGCUCAUUGACGUUACCCGCAGAAGAAGCACCGGCUAACUCCGUG